ACUGGCACAAUGAUGAUUUCCUUUUGCCGUUUACCCAUCUGAAUGUGUGAUGUGUAUUUCCAAUUCUGAGGUGCCAGU
This is a small nucleolar RNA of Naja naja (Indian cobra), 78 nucleotides long. NCBI's taxonomy places the organism in Eukaryota, Metazoa, Chordata, Lepidosauria, Squamata, Elapidae. The record is from Ensembl.